RNAcentral lists this ribosomal RNA (234 nucleotides) under Clostridium botulinum. RNAcentral's name for it is "partial 23S ribosomal RNA". It matches the Rfam family "Bacterial large subunit ribosomal RNA", at positions 398 to 634 of the family's 2925-position model. Lineage: Bacteria; Bacillati; Bacillota; Clostridia; Eubacteriales; Clostridiaceae. RNAcentral also lists the same sequence under 1 other name. The record is from RNAcentral.
AGAUCUAAUCCAGAGUACCACGAGACACGUGAAACCUUGUGGGAAGCAGGGAGGACCACCUCCCAAGGCUAAAUACUACCUAGUGACCGAUAGUGAAGCAGUACCGGGAGGGAAAGGUGAAAAGAACCCCGGAAGGGGAGUGAAAUAGAACCUGAAACCGUGUGCCUACAACCGAUCGGAGCACGUUAAAGUGUGACGAUGUGCUUUUUGUAGAACGAGCCAGCGAGUUACGCU